UCCCCGAUAGCUCAACUGGUUGAGCAGGCGGCUGUUAACCGCACGGUUGCAGGUUCGAGCCCUGCUCGGGGAGCCG
This 76-nucleotide transfer RNA is filed under the name Chloroflexota bacterium. RNAcentral describes it as "Chloroflexi bacterium (sediment metagenome) tRNA-Asn". It matches the Rfam family "tRNA". From Rfam's summary of the family: Transfer RNA (tRNA) molecules are approximately 80 nucleotides in length. Their secondary structure includes four short double-helical elements and three loops (D, anti-codon, and T loops). Lineage: Bacteria; Bacillati; Chloroflexota. The record is from RNAcentral.